UACGGAGGGAGCAAGUGUUACUCGGAAUUAUUGGGCGUAAAGGGCGCGUAGGCGAUCUGACAAGUCUGGUGUGAAAGCCCACAUGUUAACUGUGGAAGUGCAUUAGAAACUGUUGGAUUUGAGUUCAGGAGAGGAAGGCAGAAUUCCCGGUGUAGCGGUGAAAUGCGUAGAGAUCGGGAGGAAUACCAGUGGCGAAGGCGGCCUUCUGGACUGACACUGACGCUGAGGCGCGAAAGCCAGGGGAGCAAACGGG
RNAcentral lists this ribosomal RNA (253 nucleotides) under uncultured bacterium. Its description in RNAcentral is "partial 16S ribosomal RNA". It matches the Rfam family "Bacterial small subunit ribosomal RNA", at positions 524 to 776 of the family's 1533-position model. The record is from RNAcentral.